GGUUCGGUAGUUCAGCCGGCAGAGCGCGUGCCUUUUAAGCCCGUGGCCGCGGGUUCGAGCCUCGCCCGAGGUG
Non-coding RNA from Perkinsus marinus ATCC 50983, 73 nucleotides. The record is from Rfam. NCBI's taxonomy places the organism in Eukaryota, Perkinsozoa, Perkinsida, Perkinsidae.